This 253-nucleotide ribosomal RNA is filed under the name uncultured bacterium. Its description in RNAcentral is "partial 16S ribosomal RNA". It matches the Rfam family "Bacterial small subunit ribosomal RNA", at positions 524 to 776 of the family's 1533-position model. The record is from RNAcentral.
UACGGGGGGGGCAAGCGUUGUUCGGAAUUACUGGGCGUAAAGGGCUCGUAGGUGGCCAACUAAGUCAGACGUGAAAUCCCUCAGCUUAACUGGGGAACUGCGUCUGAUACUGGAUGGCUUGAGUUUGGGAGAGGGAUGCGGAAUUCCAGGUGUAGCGGUGAAAUGCGUAGAUAUCUGGAGGAACACCAAUGGCGAAGGCAGCACUCUGGGACGUGACUGACGCUGAGACGCGAAAGCGUGGGGAGCAAACAGG